This 792-nucleotide ribosomal RNA is filed under the name Alteromonadales bacterium HOT1D4. RNAcentral describes it as "bacterial SSU rRNA". It matches the Rfam family "Bacterial small subunit ribosomal RNA", at positions 89 to 883 of the family's 1533-position model. Lineage: Bacteria; Pseudomonadati; Pseudomonadota; Gammaproteobacteria; Alteromonadales. The record is from RNAcentral.
UGACGAGUGGCGGACGGGUGAGUAAUGCUUGGGAACUUGCCUUUGCGAGGGGGAUAACAGUUGGAAACGACUGCUAAUACCGCAUAAUGUCUUCGGACCAAACGGGGCUUCGGCUCCGGCGCAAAGAGAGGCCCAAGUGAGAUUAGCUAGUUGGUAAGGUAACGGCUUACCAAGGCGACGAUCUCUAGCUGUUCUGAGAGGAAGAUCAGCCACACUGGGACUGAGACACGGCCCAGACUCCUACGGGAGGCAGCAGUGGGGAAUAUUGCACAAUGGGGGAAACCCUGAUGCAGCCAUGCCGCGUGGGUGAAGAAGGCCUUCGGGUUGUAAAGCACUUUCAGUUGUGAGGAAAAGUUAGUAGUUAAUACCUGCUAGCCGUGACGUUAACAACAGAAGAAGCACCGGCUAACUCCGUGCCAGCAGCCGCGGUAAUACGGAGGGUGCGAGCGUUAAUCGGAAUUACUGGGCGUAAAGCGCACGCAGGCGGUUUGUUAAGCUAGAUGUGAAAGCCCCGGGCUCAACCUGGGAUGGUCAUUUAGAACUGGCAGACUANAGUCUUGGAGAGGGGAGUGGAAUUCCAGGUGUAGCGGUGAAAUGCGUAGAUAUCUGGAGGAACAUCAGUGGCGAAGGCGACUCCCUGGCCAAAGACUGACGCUCAUGUGCGAAAGUGUGGGUAGCGAACAGGAUUAGAUACCCUGGUAGUCCACACCGUAAACGCUGUCUACUAGCUGUGUGUGUCUUUAAGACGUGCGUAGCGAAGCUAACGCGCUAAGUAGACCGCCUGGGGAGUAC